RNAcentral lists this ribosomal RNA (543 nucleotides) under denitrifying bacterium Y(C2). RNAcentral's name for it is "bacterial SSU rRNA". It matches the Rfam family "Bacterial small subunit ribosomal RNA", at positions 353 to 906 of the family's 1533-position model. The record is from RNAcentral.
AGUGGGGAAUAUUGCACAAUGGGCGAAAGCCUGAUGCAGCGACGCCGCGUGAGGGAUGACGGCCUUCGGGUUGUAAACCUCUUUCAGCAGGGAAGAAGCGAAAGUGACGGUACCUGCAGAAGAAGCGCCGGCUAACUACGUGCCAGCAGCCGCGGUAAUACGUAGGGCGCGAGCGUUGUCCGGAAUUAUUGGGCGUAAAGAGCUCGUAGGCGGCUUGUCACGUCGGUUGUGAAAGCCCGGGGCUUAACCCCGGGUCUGCAGUCGAUACGGGCAGGCUAGAGUUCGGUAGGGGAGAUCGGAAUUCCUGGUGUAGCGGUGAAAUGCGCAGAUAUCAGGAGGAACACCGGUGGCGAAGGCGGAUCUCUGGGCCGAUACUGACGCUGAGGAGCGAAAGCGUGGGGAGCGAACAGGAUUAGAUACCCUGGUAGUCCACGCCGUAAACGGUGGGCACUAGGUGUGGGCGACAUUCCACGUCGUCCGUGCCGCAGCUAACGCAUUAAGUGCCCCGCCUGGGGAGUACGGCCGCAAGGCUAAAACUCAAAG